AUGGCAUGGAGAUUAGUCACUAUAUGCAAAAGGAAAACGGAGAACGCCUCCAACACGAUAGCCAUGGGUGCCCGACCCGGAUUUCACAUAUUCUUCGGUGUCAUAAAAAGGAAACCUCGACCGGAUCACAUCGCAACUUCUGAAGACAAACAGUCCAAUGUCGCCUCCGCCAACUUCGCGGGAAGACCAUCCACCGUUGCCUCCGCCGACUUUGCCGGAAGACCAUCAGUUGUCAUCUCCGCCUACUUCGCCGCAGGUAUCUUUUUUUUUGCAAAUUAUGAUGCAACUAUUUUUGAUUUACAACCAGAGCCUAUGGUUAUAGGAUGA
Molecule: ribosomal RNA, 327 nt
Filed under: Triticum aestivum (bread wheat)
Lineage: Eukaryota; Viridiplantae; Streptophyta; Magnoliopsida; Poales; Poaceae
Description: partial small subunit ribosomal RNA
Source: RNAcentral